This 765-nucleotide ribosomal RNA is filed under the name uncultured Streptococcus sp. RNAcentral's name for it is "bacterial SSU rRNA". It matches the Rfam family "Bacterial small subunit ribosomal RNA", at positions 28 to 776 of the family's 1533-position model. The record is from RNAcentral. Lineage: Bacteria; Bacillati; Bacillota; Bacilli; Lactobacillales; Streptococcaceae.
GACGAACGCUGGCGGCGUGCCUAAUAUAUGCAAGUAGAACGCUGAAGAGAGGAGCUUGCUCUUCUUGGAUGAGUUGCGAACGGGUGAGUAACGCGUAGGUAACCUGCCUUGUAGCGGGGGAUAACUAUUGGAAACGAUAGCUAAUACCGCAUAACAAUGGAUGACACAUGUCAUUUAUUUGAAAGGGGCAAUUGCUCCACUACAAGAUGGACCUGCGUUGUAUUAGCUAGUAGGUGAGGUAACGGCUCACCUAGGCGACGAUACAUAGCCGACCUGAGAGGGUGAUCGGCCACACUGGGACUGAGACACGGCCCAGACUCCUACGGGAGGCAGCAGUAGGGAAUCUUCGGCAAUGGGGGCAACCCUGACCGAGCAACGCCGCGUGAGUGAAGAAGGUUUUCGGAUCGUAAAGCUCUGUUGUAAGUCAAGAACGAGUGUGAGAGUGGAAAGUUCACACUGUGACGGUAGCUUACCAGAAAGGGACGGCUAACUACGUGCCAGCAGCCGCGGUAAUACGUAGGUCCCGAGCGUUGUCCGGAUUUAUUGGGCGUAAAGCGAGCGCAGGCGGUUUGAUAAGUCUGAAGUUAAAGGCUGUGGCUCAACCAUAGUUCGCUUUGGAAACUGUCAAACUUGAGUGCAGAAGGGGAGAGUGGAAUUCCAUGUGUAGCGGUGAAAUGCGUAGAUAUAUGGAGGAACACCGGUGGCGAAAGCGGCUCUCUGGUCUGUAACUGACGCUGAGGCUCGAAAGCGUGGGGAGCGAACAGG